This 72-nucleotide non-coding RNA is filed under the name Actinoalloteichus caeruleus. RNAcentral describes it as "L31-Actinobacteria ribosomal protein leader". It matches the Rfam family "L31-Actinobacteria ribosomal protein leader". The record is from RNAcentral. Lineage: Bacteria; Bacillati; Actinomycetota; Actinomycetes; Pseudonocardiales; Pseudonocardiaceae.
CCGGCUCCGGUUCACCCCCUCACCCGGCCCCUGGCGAGUGCCAGGCGACCAGGCAGGGCGGACCCGGCGGCC